GAUGAACGCUGGCGGCGUGCCUAAUAUAUGCAAGUCGAGCGAACAGACGAGGAGCUUGCUCCUCUGACGUUAGCGGCGGACGGGUGAGUAACACGUGGAUAACCUACCUAUAAGACUGGGAUAACUUCGGGAAACCGGAGCUAAUACCGGAUAAUAUAUUGAACCGCAUGGUUCAAUAGUGAAAGACGGUUUUGCUGUCACUUAUAGAUGGAUCCGCGCCGCAUUAGCUAGUUGGUAAGGUAACGGCUUACCAAGGCAACGAUGCGUAGCCUACCUGAGAGGGUGAUCGGCCACACUGGAACUGAGACACGGUCCAGACUCCUACGGGAGGCAGCAGUAGGGAAUCUUCCGCAAUGGGCGAAAGCCUGACGGAGCAACGCCGCGUGAGUGAUGAAGGUCUUCGGAUCGUAAAACUCUGUUAUUAGGGAAGAACAAAUGUGUAAGUAACUAUGCACGUCUUGACGGUACCUAAUCAGAAAGCCACGGCUAACUACGUG
Molecule: ribosomal RNA, 497 nt
Filed under: uncultured bacterium
Lineage: Bacteria
Description: partial 16S ribosomal RNA
Rfam family: Bacterial small subunit ribosomal RNA
Source: RNAcentral